GUACUAUUAGCUAAGUGGCUACAGCCGGCCCAGUUGAUGGGCUAAGUCGUCAGUUCGAAUCUGACAUAGUACACCA
Molecule: transfer RNA, 76 nt
Filed under: Spirochaetota bacterium
Lineage: Bacteria; Pseudomonadati; Spirochaetota
Description: Spirochaetes bacterium tRNA-Gln
Source: RNAcentral